GACGAACGCUGGCGGCGCGCCUAACACAUGCAAGUCGAGGGAGAACCGACCUGGUCGGGGAGGACGGCGAACGGGUGAGUAACACGUGAGGAACCUGCCCUGUAGACCGGAAUAACCAACGGGAAACUAGUGGCUAAUGCCGGAUGGUCUCGGAUGACCGCAUGGAUGUCCGAGGAAAUGGUCUGCCGCUACAGGAUGGCCUCGCGGCCUAUCAGCUAGUUGGUGAGGUAACGGCNCACCAAGGCGACGACGGGUAGCUGGCGUGAGAGCGCGACCAGCCACACUGGGACUGAGACACGGCCCAGACUCCUACGGGAGGCAGCAGUGGGGAAUCUUGCGCAAUGGG
This 346-nucleotide ribosomal RNA is filed under the name uncultured bacterium. RNAcentral describes it as "bacterial SSU rRNA". It matches the Rfam family "Bacterial small subunit ribosomal RNA", at positions 28 to 375 of the family's 1533-position model. The record is from RNAcentral.